This 1436-nucleotide long non-coding RNA is filed under the name Fukomys damarensis (Damara mole-rat). RNAcentral describes it as "lncRNA (ENSFDAG00000033075.1)". Lineage: Eukaryota; Metazoa; Chordata; Mammalia; Rodentia; Bathyergidae. The record is from RNAcentral.
AUGAGGUUUUCAGAAACCAUCUUUGCUUCAUUAGUACCAGAUGUGGGCUCCAGAAGCAGAGAGCUAUCAGGGUUCACCAAGAUGAGCACUGAGACAGGCCCUUCUAGGUCUGAGGCUGAGGAAGCAGCAGCAACUUGGUGCCUGUCCCCACUCCCCCAGCUGUCUACAGCUCAGAAGCCAAAAGCUCAGCUACUCCUAUUUGGAGAUGCAGUAGAGUGCUUCCUGGUCCAGUUGUUUAAAGUGCACUGGAUCACAUUAAAAAAAAAGAGGAUGAAAGAACAGCUGAGAAGAGAUCUACAGAGAAUCAAAGAAUAAUAAAACACAAAGUCUUUUAUUGAGAAACUGCACAAAUUAACUCCAAAUUACUACCACUGUCAUACAAGAGGAGGCUUCAAGGCACAAAACUUGUUGCUGCACUCCAUCUUGCUUUAUUGUGGUGUCUUCACUCAUGUACUAGUAGCUAAAAGCCAUCCUCUUUAGAGUACUACAUCUUUUAUCUCCUCUCUUCCCCCCUGUAUUUUAAUUAAAAGACAAUGAACCUUUUAAAGUAGUCAAAUGGAAAAUAUAAAAUUGCACCAUUUUAUCAGAGCUUAAGAUAUUCGUGUUCUCCAAUCAUGAGAAGAAUUCAAAAUAACAUACUUGGUAUUUUAUUACACGCCAGUCCCUCUCUGCCCUUUCUUUAUCGGGGCACUUGGUUGGAAGAGCUAUUUGAAACUAGAAAGGCAAUUCAACCUCAGACUGAUAAAUAGAGUUUUUGUUUUGUUUUUUUUUAAAGGCCAAGAAAGAUCAAUUUAAUCUAUUCUCUGGAUCAUCGUAGCUGAUUUUUAAUUUCUAAAAUAAUAUUGUUACUCUGCAUUUCUCCUAAAUUUAAGUGGCAGGUCUAAAAAUAAGUAGCCUGUCUUAUUUAAGCAUUAUUUACUCAUCAUGUUGUCAGUUUGAAGGCAUGUGGACUAAAAUAAGAAAAAUACAGUAAAAUGUUAUUGGAUGGUAAGAAGGCCGGAAUGCUUUGCUUUCCUCUAACUCUACAGCCUAAAUCUAUUAAUUUUGGCAAAGGGCACCAAGACAAAUCCAUGCUGUUUGAAAUGUUCCAUGGGAGCCUUUAAAAAUGAAGGUCUUGUCUACUCUUUAUGGACAUUAAAAUGCUUCAUCCCAAGGACCCUUUAUAGCAAAUUGCAAGCUGUUCUGUUUUAUCUGCUUUGACAGGAUGAAGGGCUGAGCUGGCCCUAGAGGGAUGGGAUACAGAGACUGAAUAGUUCAAACUUGAGAUUUCCAAUAAACCAUUUUCUACAAUUAGAAAAAAGACAUGGAAGAUAGUCAUUUCAGCAGAUAGUUUCAACCCAUUAAGAAUUACUUAUUGCAUCACUUAAAAUCUAACUAAAAUCAUGUUCCUUCAAUGCUUCACUCCAAACUAGCACUAAAGCCCUUAAAAUCAGCCU